AUUGAACGCUGGCGGCAUGCUUUACACAUGCAAGUCGAACGGCAGCGCGGGCUUCGGCCUGGCGGCGAGUGGCGAACGGGUGAGUAAUGCAUCGGAACGUGCCCAGUAGUGGGGGAUAGCCCGGCGAAAGCCGGAUUAAUACCGCAUACGACCUGGGGGUGAAAGCGGGGGACCGAAAGGCCUCGCGCUAUUGGAGCGGCCGAUGUCGGAUUAGCUAGUUGGUGGGGUAAAGGCUUACCAAGGCGACGAUCCGUAGCUGGCCUGAGAGGACGACCAGCCACACUGGGACUGAGACACGGCCCAGACUCCUACGGGAGGCAGCAGUGGGGAAUUUUGGACAAUGGGGGCAACCCUGAUCCAGCCAUGCCGCGUGCGGGAAGAAGGCCUUCGGGUUGUAAACCGCUUUUGUUCGGGAAGAAAUCCUCUGGGCUAAUACCCCGGGGGGAUGACGGUACCGGAAGAAUAAGCACCGGCUAACUACGUG
This 484-nucleotide ribosomal RNA is filed under the name uncultured bacterium. Its description in RNAcentral is "partial 16S ribosomal RNA". It matches the Rfam family "Bacterial small subunit ribosomal RNA", at positions 28 to 507 of the family's 1533-position model. The record is from RNAcentral.